RNAcentral lists this long non-coding RNA (1662 nucleotides) under Sus scrofa (pig). RNAcentral's name for it is "lncRNA (ENSSSCG00065010891.1)". Lineage: Eukaryota; Metazoa; Chordata; Mammalia; Artiodactyla; Suidae. The record is from RNAcentral.
CCCGCUCAGGAGCGCGGGCCUUGCGCCAAGAGCCUGCGCAGCCCACCCUGCAAAAUGGCGGCAGCAACUCUUAGCUGGGUUAGGUUUUUAAUCCUGGGUGGGCCUGAGAAGCUUUUAACUACAUCAGAAAUGGAAGCUUUAACUUAAAUUGACCCAGACUUUUGGCACCUAAAAAUGGGACUAUUCUAAUACCUUGAAAGUGACAGAAGCGCCAAGCAACGCUCAACACACUGCGUGGAUGGAGAAGGGAGAAUUGACAAGGUAAAGUUUAAGUUUAAAGAAAGAAAAAUCUGUUUGCUUCUUUUCUCCUACCAAGUCAGGCCUGCGAAAUAUGCCACAUUCACACAAGAACCCCAAGUCAAACUCAAACUAGAUGGAAAAAAAAAAAGAGGCAAGGCUGAUGAGACUCGGUGGUGAAGUGCAUUGCCAGGGCCACAUGACUCUGAAAUUCUCUCAACUCCACCCUCCCUGGCUCUGUUCCUGGUUUGAAUUCCCUCAUAGAACCAACAUGCAUAUUCUUUCUCUUCAUUUCCAAGGGCUGAAGGGUAAGGGGUGGGGGUAGGAGACCUGUCUUUCUUCAAACUGUCAAAGAAAAGUCCAGAGAUUCUCCUGAUUGGAUUACCUUUGGUCAAGGUUCCCUCAGUGCUCCCCAUCUAUGUCCUGGGAAAUACUACUAGGUUCCUUGUUCCUCUGUCAUCCAGUCCCUGAGGGAGGGGAAGGGGGAUUACAGCAAAGGAUUUAGGCCACUCAGGGCACAUCCUGGAACUGAAGAAAAAGUCAGUCCUACUCAAGUCAUGUGACUGGAAAGUUCAGGAUCCUCUAGGACAUGGAGUAGAUGUUGGGGAGAUAACUUCAGGGUGUGUCUUAUCUCAGUAGAUACGUUUAUUGUUGGUUGAUUCAAUUAAUCGACUAAACAAUAACUAUAGAAACCAGUUUUUUGUUGUUGUUGUUUUUGUUUGUUUGGUUUUUUUUUUGGUCUUUUCGCCAUUUCUUGGGCCACUCCCACGGUAUAUGGAGGUUCCCAGGCUGGGGGUCUAAUCGGAGCUGUAGCCACCGGCCUACGCCAGAGCUACAGCAAUGUGGGAUCCGAGCCUCGUCUGCGACCUACACCACAGCUCACGGCAAUGCCGGAUCCUUAACCCACUGAGCAAGGGCAGGGAUCGAACCUGCAACCUCAUGGUUCCUAGUCGGAUUCGUUAACCACUGCGCCACAACGGGAACUCCCAGAAACCAGUUUUUAAGUAUUUUCUAGGACUCCCUGGUGGUCUAGUGGGUUAAGGGCCCAGUGUUGUCACUGCUGUGGUUGGGGUCACUGGUGUGGUGCAGGUUUGAUGCCUGGCCUGGGAAUGUUCACAUGCUGUAGGCGUGGCCAAGUAAAUAAAUGAAAUACUUUCUAGGGAGUUCCUACUGUGGCUUAGUGGGUUAAGAACCCAACUAGUAUCCACAAGGAUGCAGGUUCGAUCCCUGGCCUUGAUCGGUAGGUUAAGGAUCCAGCAAUGCUCUGAGCUGUGAUGUAGGUUGCAGAUGCAGCUUGGAUCUCAUGUUACUGUGGCUGUGGCAUACACCUGCAGCUGCAGCUCCAGUUCAACCCCUAGCCUGGGAACUUCAUAUGCCACAUGUGCAGCCCUAAAAAGCAAAAAAAAAAAAAAAAAAAAAAAAAAA